GCCGUGUGGUUGUGAGCUGGGGUCUCGAUCUGGAAUCAGGGUGGGAAAUGGGCGCCGGAAGUGGGCUGGGGGCUGAUGUCGGCGGAGCACCCCGCGAGCGUCGCGGCCGGCAGGCGGCGGUGGACGACCUGACCUGCGAGAGCCGGCCGGGUUCGGGGCCGCGCGUCCUGAGGUUCGCCUCCGCGUCUCCAGAACCCGGGCCGAGGUGGUACACGACCGGAAGAUGGGACUCGAACCCGGGAGGACCUCCCCAGGUCGCGCCUCUGGUUUACACAGCCGUAGGGCUGCAAAGGCGCUUCAGCAGAAUCUGUAAAUAAAGCACGACCGCGGUUGUACUAGGAGCGAGUGUGACAGCAGCAGGCAGCCCGCUGGACGCCCGCUGGACGCCUUGGUUCCCGGCACAGACGAGGCCUAAAGCUUAUAUUCUUUGGGGAAGAGCGAUUUGCUGAGAAACACAGCUGCCAGGUCCAGGACUUGAACCGUAAUGUCGGCGGUGUAGGAGAGACAGCGUCAGAGAGACGGAAAGUGAGAAAUCACCUCCUGGGAGGAUGGCCACAUCGCAGUCCCUUUUCCUCUGUUCUCCUCAUGGGAUUUUAGCCAUACAUGCAGACUGUCGGUUUCCAAGCUGUGUGGGAGUCCAGCACCUUAACCACUAUGCCACCUGCUGUUCAUUGACAUCUUAAAGACCUCAGUAAAGCAUAAGCCA
Tupaia belangeri chinensis (Chinese tree shrew) is the source of this 706-nucleotide long non-coding RNA. RefSeq lists it as uncharacterized. NCBI's taxonomy places the organism in Eukaryota, Metazoa, Chordata, Mammalia, Scandentia, Tupaiidae. The record is from RefSeq and is a predicted model, not a curated record. The transcript is spliced from 2 exons.